This 269-nucleotide ribosomal RNA is filed under the name uncultured prokaryote. Its description in RNAcentral is "partial 16S ribosomal RNA". It matches the Rfam family "Bacterial small subunit ribosomal RNA", at positions 524 to 792 of the family's 1533-position model. The record is from RNAcentral.
UACGUAGGGAGCGAGCGUUGUCCGGAAUUACUGGGCGUAAAGGGCGCGUAGGUGGGCGUUUAAGUCAGAUGUGAAAACUCCGGGCUCAACUUGGAGAUUGCAUUUGAAGCUAGAUGUCUUGAGGGCAGGAGAGGCAAGCGGAAUUCCGUGUGUAGCGGUGAAAUGCGUAGAUAUACGGAGGAACACCAGUGGCGAAGGCGGCUUGCUGGACAUUAACUGACGCUAAGGCGCGAAAGCGUGUGGAGCAAACAGGAUUAGAUACCCCGGUA